Molecule: transfer RNA, 72 nt
Filed under: Phrynosoma platyrhinos (Desert horned lizard)
Lineage: Eukaryota; Metazoa; Chordata; Lepidosauria; Squamata; Phrynosomatidae
Description: tRNA-OTHER
Source: RNAcentral
GCCAGUGUGGCAUAGUGGCUUAAGGGUUGGACUGUCACUCUGGGGACCAGGGUUCGAUUCCCCACUUUGCCA